UCCUUAUAAGGGUUAACAACAAAAUAAUUGUAUAUGUUAAUUAACAUUGCCAUCUGGUCUUGUACAUGUUGCCGUUUUCAAAUGGAUUCUAUCUUGAAUACUUUUUGAGAAAAAUGUAAAAGAAAGAAAUUGCUUCAAGGGGACAUAACUCUCAUAGGAAAUGAUGAAAUCCUUAGCAGCCUCAUAUGGUAACACAUCAUGAUGAGAUCUAACUAUUGUCCAAAUAAGGUCAUGAUAUCUUAAAAAACAACGAGGGGGGGCCAUGUCGAAAAAAACCAAUAAAAGGGAGAUAACUUCUAAAGGGGAUGAUGAAAUCCUACACAGCCUCAUCUGGUAAUACUUCAUGAUGAGGUCUACCGAUGGUCCAUAUUUGGUCUUGAUAACUCAAAUAGAAACGAGGGGAGGCCAUGUCAAACAAAUGCUGGAUGAAAAAAAAAAAAAAAAAAAAAAACAGGAGAAAAACAAUAAGGUCUUUCCUCGCGGAGAGGAAAGACCUUAAAAACAAUAAGGUCUUUCCUCACGUAGGGGAAAGACCUUAAAAACAUUAGAAAAACAAUAAG
RNAcentral lists this long non-coding RNA (560 nucleotides) under Mytilus galloprovincialis (Mediterranean mussel). Lineage: Eukaryota; Metazoa; Mollusca; Bivalvia; Mytilida; Mytilidae. The record is from RNAcentral.